GAUGAACGCUGGCGGCGUGCUUAACACAUGCAAGUCGAACGGAAAGGCUCCUGCUUGCAGGGGUACUCGAGUGGCGAACGGGUGAGUAACACGUGGGUGAUCUGCCCUGCACUUCGGGAUAAGCCUGGGAAACUGGGUCUAAUACCGGAUAGGACGAUGGUUUGGUUGCCAUUGUGGAAAGUUUUUCGGUGUGGGAUGAGCUCGCGGCCUAUCAGCUUGUUGGUGGGGUAAUGGCCUACCAAGGCGUCGACGGGUAGCCGGCCUGGGAGGGUGUACGGCCAAAUUGGACGUGGAAUACGGCCAAGACCCCUCCGGGGGGAGAGGGGGGGGAAUGUUGCCAAAGGGGGGCAAGCCUGAUGCAGCAACCCCGGGGGGGGGAGGCCGGCCUUCGGGUUGAAAACCCCUUUCGCUAGGGACGAAGCGCAAGUGGCGGAACCGGGAAAAAAAGCCCCGGCUAACUACGG
RNAcentral lists this ribosomal RNA (464 nucleotides) under uncultured bacterium. RNAcentral describes it as "partial 16S ribosomal RNA". It matches the Rfam family "Bacterial small subunit ribosomal RNA", at positions 28 to 506 of the family's 1533-position model. The record is from RNAcentral.